UUUUUUACUUGUUUUAUGACUCAGUUAAAAACAGCUAAACAAAUUUUUUACUUCAGGUGGAGAAACUGUCCCUUUGUUUGAACAGAAAGCAUACUUGGCUGCUGUGCAGCUUUGAUUAUGCCAUCCAAUUGUGUAAUGUUGAUUCUCUCACCCUUAAAUGUUGCUUCAAUCAAAUGUUUUUGGCUGAGAUUUUCAAGAUGCUGUGUCACUGAAUAUCUAAUCCCUUUAAGAAGAAGAGCAUUCCAUGUGGUGGAUAUAUGAUAUUUGGAAAAUACUUCAGCCUUGUGAGGAUGGCUUUGCCUGAUGCUGAAGAGCAACUUGCUCUCUGACCCCCACCAGAAGUGUUACUUAAAGAUGUGUAUCCUACUAAUUGUAUCCAAACUCCACUGUCUUCUUUGAACUGCCCAGAGGAUUUUCUCUGCUCAGCAGUGGAAGUAAUAAAGAGGUGACAAGUCUUACUUUAGAUCUUCCUCAUCUACAUUAUCUGAGAUCUGUUCAAAUGAAGCCAUAGAGUGACUUGUAGAAUUAUAGGACUCAGAAGAAGGUGUUGCUCCAGGGCAACACCCUUGGUGAGAUCUGGUCAUGUGGUCUCUUCUCCAGAGCUUUGUUCUUGUCUAGGCAGCAGCCAGCUGGCCUCUUUUUGAUGUGUGUGCCAUCAUUUAACUCCUAGGUGUGCCUUCCUCUGUGGAGGUACAGGCCAAAAUUUGUCUUACAUGACCAAGGCAUGAUACUGUGUUUUAUUGUGAUACUGCAGGAACUCUAAAAGCACUUAGUUUUUUUAAUCUGGAAGUUUUAUGGAAUGAUACUAUCUAAACAUCACUGUGUGUAGCUAUGUGACUUUGGAGCCAGCAUGCAACUAAUUGUCUGUUUGCUUGUUUUCAGGUUCUCCUCUUGGUUGUGAAGCAGAUUUUUCCAGAUUUUGAGUUCAUGUGGCUGGUGGAAGAAGCUAAGAAGAAUCUGCCCUUAGAGCUGGAUUUCCUCAAUGAAGGCAGAAAUGCUGAGAAGGUUGCUCAUAUGCUCAAAAACUUUGACUUCCUGAAGAGACUAUGGAUUUGCCAUCCUUUACUGAACCUGAAUUUGAUGGUACCUUUCCUUGGGCUCUGUCUCAGCUGAGGGUAAGAAAUGGACGCAGAACAGAAAAGCUAGACUGAAACUGGUGAUGUCAACUAGUAUUGUGGACACCUUGUAUCUCAGGAAGAAGCAUAUUCACAUGAGUCCUUCCUACUGCAAAAAAGCACAUUCUCACUCCAGAACUGGACAUUUACCCUUCGUACACAUCUGUGGCUAAUUCAUGUUACCUUCAUACAGAAAUCAAAUUGCACCCAUGUUUGGUCUUCCCCUCUGAUACUUUUAUCCCACCUCCCCUGCCACACACUUAUGUCACUGAUAAAUGUCUGAAAUACAACCAGACACGUACACAUCUCGUUCUUGGAAAGACAUAUGCUCACAUCUUCAAAGUCACACGUUCAGAAAUCUUUUGCUGAGGUACAAGAGACACAAGCCUCCAGUGUGUGCUUUCUGGAAACACACAUAGUGCCAUGUUACUGUGCCCAUGGCACAUACAGAAAGGCAGCAAAAAUCACACCCUGCUGUGGAUCUUCUUGUAUACAUACUUCUAAAUGAGCUUGCCACCUCCUAUUUAUGCAGAAGUCCCAAGAUAGGAGUGACA
Molecule: long non-coding RNA, 1669 nt
Organism: Cyanistes caeruleus (blue tit)
Lineage: Eukaryota; Metazoa; Chordata; Aves; Passeriformes; Paridae
Source: Ensembl